This 1456-nucleotide long non-coding RNA is filed under the name Notechis scutatus (mainland tiger snake). Its description in RNAcentral is "lncRNA (ENSNSUG00000016905.1)". Lineage: Eukaryota; Metazoa; Chordata; Lepidosauria; Squamata; Elapidae. The record is from RNAcentral.
UGUACUACUUGCCCUUCUCCAAACUUCUCCUGGGAUUUAUUUUUAAAUUUUGGGGUUGCGGGGAGUCUAGUCCGGGGCCUAAUGCCGGCUUGCAGGCCUUGCGCGCAGAGGCCUCCCACCAGCUAGGUUACAGCACACACUGCUGUUCUUUGUGGGGGUGGGGGGGAGAAGGGUCCUUUCCCUCUAACCCAGGGGUCUGCAACCCACAGGUCUGGAGCCACUGCUGCUGCUCUUCGUCCUCCUCCUCCUCCUCCUCUUCUUCUUCUUCUUCCUCCCUCUUCUUCUCCUUUUUCCUCCUCCCCCUCCCCUUCUCCUUCUUCCUCUUCCUCCUCUUCUUCCUCUUCCUCCCUCUCCCGCUCCCUUCCUUCUUCCUCCUCCUCUCCCUCCUCCUCCUCUCCCUCCUCCUCCUCCUCCUCAGCCUCUUGGUGGUGCAGUGGUUAGAAUGCAGUAUUCCAAGCUACUCCUACUGCAGUUUGGCAGAUCGAAUCCCACCAGGUUCCAGGUAGAUUCAGCCUUCCAUCCUGCGGGUAAAAUUGGAUCCAGAUUAUGGGGGGGGGGGGGGGGAGAGGGCUGGCUCCGUAAACCGCUUAGAGAGGGCUGUAAAGCACUGUGAAACGGUAUAUAAGUCUAAGCGCUGUUGCUGUUCUUCCUCUUCUUCUUCUUCUUCUCCUUCUCCUUCUUCCGGGGCCUCUGUUGUGCCUCCCUGUCGGCGGAUCCCACCACUGGCUGGUCCCUCCCCUUCCUGUCACACCUCACCUGGCCUGAGAAGGUAAGGGUGACGCUGGGAGACAUGAAGACUCCCGCUCCAUAUUCCAGAGCACGAGAGUUGACCGGGGUGGGAGAGAGUCACGCCAGGGGUUAAAUUUAUCGGGCUCCCUGGUGUUUUCGGUGGGGGGGGGAAACGGGUCCAAAUGGCUCUUUUGAGGGUUUAAGGUUGCAGACCCCCCCCCAACCAGCCCCCCCCCCCCCGGUGAGUUUUUGAGUGGGGAGGGGGCGCUUGCAUUUCCAGCAGUGCACCCCUUGAUCGCAUCCAGAGGUGGGAGGGCAAGGGAGGUUGGGCCGGGCGGAGCAAGAACACGCACCAAAGGUAUAUUUGGGGUGGUUUUUUCCUCCCCCACCCCAACACCCCCCAAGCAGGAGGCUCUGGGUUCUUUUUUGGGGGGGGGGAGAACAUUGGGGGCAGAAGGGGGAAAGUCGCUGACAUGUACAUAGUGGCCGAUCUUUUGCACUUUGUCACUGGGGGGGGGGGCGCGUACGCGGAGGGGUGCGCUCCGGUGAUUGUUGACCGUUUGCUACUGAAUGUAACUCGUUUUUAUUUUCCUUAUUUUUUUUUUUUAGAAAAGCACCUCUAGCUAGUUUUUACGGCACUUUAGAUAUUUACUGAAAUCUGUUUAAGGAAACUACAGAAAAGCAAAAAAAAAAAUAAAAAAAUAAAAGGGAGAGAGAGAGGAAAACA